CGCGCGAUACAGGGUGACAGCCCCGUACACAAAAGCGCAUGUGCUGUGAGCUCGAUGAGUAGGGCGGGACACGUGGUAUCCUGUCUGAAUAUGGGGGGACCAUCCUCCAAGGCUAAAUACUCCUGACUGACCGAUAGUGAACCAGUACCGUGAGGGAAAGGCGAAAAGAACCCCGGCGAGGGGAGUGAAAAAGAACCUGAAACCGUGUACGUACAAGCAGUGGGAGCCCCACCACUAAGCCAGUGGUGAACUCCACAUACGCAUCCUUUGCUGAGGAUACGGUUAACGGAGCGAAAGCGACGUUCAACCUCAAAAGAAGCAGAGGGGGCUUAGUGGUGGGGUGACUGCGUACCUUUUGUAUAAUGGGUCAGCGACUUAUAUUCUGUAGCAAGGUUAACCGAAUAGGGGAGCCGAAGGGAAACCGAGUCUUAACCGGGCGUUAAGUUGCAGGGUAUAGACCCGAAACCCGGUGAUCUAGCCAUGGGCAGGUUGAAGGUUGGGUAACACUAACUGGAGGACCGAACCGACUAAUGUUGAAAAAUUAGCGGAUGACCUGUGGCUGGGGGUGAAAGGCCAAUCAAACCGGGAGAUAGCUGGUUCUCCCCGAAAGCUAUUUAGGUAGCGCCUCGUGAAUUCAUCUCCGGGGGUAGAGCACUGUUUCGGCUAGGGGGUCAUCCCGACUUACCAACCCGAUGCAAACUGCGAAUACCGGAGAAUGUUAUCACGGGAGACACACGGCGGGUGCUAACGUCCGUCGUGAAGAGGGAAACAACCCAGACCGCCAGCUAAGGUCCCAAAGUCAUGGUUAAGUGGGAAACGAUGUGGGAAGGCCCAGACAGCCAGGAUGUUGGCUUAGAAGCAGCCAUCAUUUAAAGAAAGCGUAAUAGCUCACUGGUCGAGUCGGCCUGCGCGGAAGAUGUAACGGGGCUAAACCAUGCACCGAAGCUGCGGCAGCGAACGUAUCACCCAAGACAACUUUACGGAGUUGGCGAUUGAUGGAGCGAAGCGACGUCAAAGCGUUCAUUAAAGUCGAGUUGGCUUAGGGAUACGUUCGUUGGGUAGGGGAGCGUUCUGUAAGCCUGUGAAGGUGGCCUGUGAGGGUUGCUGGAGGUAUCAGAAGUGCGAAUGCUGACAUAAGUAACGAUAAAGCGGGUGAAAAGCCCGCUCGCCGGAAGACCAAGGGUUCCUGUCCAACGUUAAUCGGGGCAGGGUGAGUCGACCCCUAAGGCGAGGCCGAAAGGCGUAGUCGAUGGGAAACGGGUUAAUAUUCCCGUACUUGGUGUUACUGCGAAGGGGGGACGGAGAAGGCUAUGUUGGCCGGGCGACGGUUGUCCCGGUUUAAGCGUGUAGGUGUGUGUUCCAGGUAAAUCCGGUUCACUUUAACACUGAGGCGUGAUGA
RNAcentral lists this ribosomal RNA (1399 nucleotides) under Salmonella enterica. Its description in RNAcentral is "partial 23S ribosomal RNA". It matches the Rfam family "Bacterial large subunit ribosomal RNA", at positions 351 to 1569 of the family's 2925-position model. Lineage: Bacteria; Pseudomonadati; Pseudomonadota; Gammaproteobacteria; Enterobacterales; Enterobacteriaceae. The record is from RNAcentral.